CGGCGUGUAGCUCAGUAGUAGAGCACCGGGCUUAGGACCCGGCGGGCGCAGGGGCAGAACCUGCCGCGCCGG
RNAcentral lists this transfer RNA (72 nucleotides) under Bifidobacteriaceae bacterium. RNAcentral describes it as "tRNA-Leu". It matches the Rfam family "tRNA". From Rfam's summary of the family: Transfer RNA (tRNA) molecules are approximately 80 nucleotides in length. Their secondary structure includes four short double-helical elements and three loops (D, anti-codon, and T loops). Lineage: Bacteria; Bacillati; Actinomycetota; Actinomycetes; Bifidobacteriales; Bifidobacteriaceae. The record is from RNAcentral.